Molecule: ribosomal RNA, 503 nt
Filed under: uncultured bacterium
Lineage: Bacteria
Description: partial 16S ribosomal RNA
Rfam family: Bacterial small subunit ribosomal RNA
Source: RNAcentral
GUUGAACGCUGGCGGCAGGCUUAACACAUGCAAGUCGAGCGGGGUGAUGGUGCUUGCACUAUCACUUAGCGGCGGACGGGUGAGUAAUGCUUAGGAAUCUGCCUAUUAGUGGGGGACAACAUCUCGAAAGGGAUGCUAAUACCGCAUACGUCCUACGGGAGAAAGCAGGGGAUCACUUGUGACCUUGCGCUAAUAGAUGAGCCUAAGUCGGAUUAGCUAGUUGGUGGGGUAAAGGCCUACCAAGGCGACGAUCUGUAGCGGGUCUGGGAGGAUGAUCCGCCACACUGGGAAUGAGACACGGCCCAGAAUCCUACGGGAGGCAGCAGUGGGGAAUAUUGGACAAUGGGGGGAACCCUGAUCCAGCCAUGCCGCGUGUGUGAAGAAGGCCUUAUGGUUGUAAAGCACUUUAAGCGAGGAGGAGGCUCUUUUGGUUAAUACCCAAGAUGAGUGGACGUUACUCGCAGAAUAAGCACCGGCUAACUCUGUGCCAGCCGCCGCGGUAA